Long non-coding RNA from Mus musculus (house mouse), 1138 nucleotides. RefSeq annotates it as predicted gene, 40223. The record is from RefSeq and is a predicted model, not a curated record. The transcript has 3 exons. Lineage: Eukaryota; Metazoa; Chordata; Mammalia; Rodentia; Muridae.
UCGAAGCCAUUCACCUUGUUUUUUGAGACAGGGUCUUUUAUGGCCUGAUGCAAGCUUGCUAAGCAGUUAGUCUGGCUAGCUGGCCCAUGAGCUGCAGGGGUCUGUUUGUCUGUUUCUUCAGGGAUGGGAAUAGAAGUGUAUAGCACUAUGCCUAGCUUUUUACGUGGAUUCUGGGGAUGAGACUAAGAUUCCUAGGCCCAGAAGGUGAGCACUCUACUGCAUGAAGUACUUCCUCAGCCCCCAGCAAAAUAUUUUCUUUCUUUUCUACCCCACUCCAAAGCUAGGACCUAAUACAUGCUAGACAAAAUACUGUACCACUGAGCUAUAGCCCCAGCCCUCAAAUAUGUCUUAAGUCAAUGAAAAAUUCUGUCCAUCCCACUACACUGGGAAUCUCUUGAGGAAAGAGGGAAGGUUUUAUUCAUCUCUCAAUCACCAGUACCUACAGUUGGGCCUGGUUCUUGUUGGGAGCCCAGGAUUUGAGGAAUGAGCUGAUGUAGGAUCCCCCUGAGCCUUUGUAAUUAAACUGGUCAUUUCCCCAUCCUUGGAGGGGCCCCAGCUUCAGAUCCCUGGGUGAUGCAGGUGAGUUGCUAGGCAACAGCAUGAGGUUGGCUCUGGGGUCACAGUGGAGAGUGUGCUGUGAGGCCAGCUUGCCGGUAAUUGGAAACACUUCUCUAUUCAGCAGUCUCUUAAACUGCCUCUGCUUUCUCCCCUCCAGCCCAUCCCCCCUUUCAGCUGCAGGAGGGAUUGUUUUAAAGCAAGCAAGCAAUCCCAGCACUCCCCCCACUCCCAAACCUCCUGUUUCUGAGGGAGGAAUCCAAGGUUCAAGAGCUAGAGGAACCUGUUCGAAGUCCAUGUUAACAGAUUAUCUAAUUCAUCAUUUUUACAUGUGAAGAAAAAGAAGGGUGACUCUAUUCUUGAAGCCAGAGUUAUCAGCAGAUGAACUGAAAGGAAGAUAUCUGGGUUGAAGAAAUAGCUUAGAGUUUGCCAGCAUACAUGAAGCCCUAAGUCUGAUUCCUCAGUCCUGAAUGAAACUGGAGAUAACUACAGCUUUCUGGAUGUCGAGGCAGGAGAAUUAGAAGUUCAAGGUUUUCCUCAGCUAGCAAGGUCUCAAUUGAGGCGGAUUUCUGAAUUCGAGGCC